UACGUAGGGGGCAAGCGUUGUCCGGAUUUAUUGGGCGUAAAGAGCUCGUAGGUGGUUCGGUAAGUCGGAUGUGAAAUCUCCAGGCUCAACCUGGAGGGGUCAUUCGAUACUGCCGUGACUAGAGUUCGGUAGGGGAGUGUGGAAUUCCUGGUGGAGCGGUGAAAUGCGUAGAUAUCUGGAGGAACACCGGUGGCGAAGGCGGCGUUCUGGACUGCAACUGACACUGAGAGACGAAAGCCAGGGGAGCAAACGGG
RNAcentral lists this ribosomal RNA (254 nucleotides) under uncultured bacterium. RNAcentral describes it as "partial 16S ribosomal RNA". It matches the Rfam family "Bacterial small subunit ribosomal RNA", at positions 524 to 776 of the family's 1533-position model. The record is from RNAcentral.